CCCUUAGAUGUCCUGGGCCGCACGCGCGCUACACUGAGUGUCUGAGAUACGAGUCUGCCGGGUCCGGCAAGGUCUAGGUAAUCGCUAAAAGACACAUCAUGCUUGGGAUAGAUUAUUGCAAAUAUUAAUCUUGAACGAGGAAUUCCUAGUAAGCGCAAGUCAACAGCUUGCGUUGAUUACGUCCCUGCCCUUUGUACACACCGCCCGUCGCUACUACUGAUUGGAUGUUUAAGCGAGGUUCUCGAACUGCUAGCGACUUAGCUUCGGUGAGGUCGCAGUGUGGGAAGUGAACCUAGCUUUGGUGUCUAGAGGAAGUAAAAGUCGUAACA
Molecule: ribosomal RNA, 329 nt
Filed under: uncultured eukaryote
Lineage: Eukaryota
Description: partial 18S ribosomal RNA
Rfam family: Eukaryotic small subunit ribosomal RNA
Source: RNAcentral